CCUACGGGGGGCAGCAGUGGGGAAUAUUGGGCAAUGGGCGCAAGCCUGACCCAGCAACGCCGCGUGAAGGAAGAAGGCUUUCGGGUUGUUAACUUCUUUUAUCAGGGACGAAGCAAGUGACGGUACCUGAUGAAUAAGCCACGGCUAACUACGUGCCAGCAGCCGCGGUAAUACGGAGGUGGCAAGCGUUAUCCGGAUUUACUGGGUGUAAAGGGAGUGUAGGCGGGAGUGCAAGUCAGAUGUGAAUACUAUGGGCUCAACCCAUAGCCUGCAGUUGAAACUGUACUUCUUGAGUGCUGGAGAGGCAAGCGGAAUUCGGUGUGUAGCGGUGAAAUGCGUAGAUAUACGGAGGAACACCAGUGGCGAAGGCGGAUUGCUGGACAGUAACUGACGCUGAGGUGCGAAAGCGUGGGGAGCAAACAGGAUUAGAUACCCUUGUAGUC
RNAcentral lists this ribosomal RNA (443 nucleotides) under uncultured bacterium. RNAcentral describes it as "partial 16S ribosomal RNA". It matches the Rfam family "Bacterial small subunit ribosomal RNA", at positions 338 to 795 of the family's 1533-position model. The record is from RNAcentral.